GACGAACGCUGGCGGCGUGCUUAACACAUGCAAGUCGAACGGAAAGGCCCUGCUUUUGUGGGGUGCUCGAGUGGCGAACGGGUGAGUAACACGUGAGUAACCUGCCCUUGACUUUGGGAUAACUUCAGGAAACUGGGGCUAAUACCGGAUAGGAGCUCCUGCUGCAUGGUGGGGGUUGGAAAGUUUCGGUGGGUGGGGAUGGACUCGCGGCUUAUCAGCUUGUUGGUGGGGUAGUGGCAUACCAAGGCUUUGACGGGUAGCCGGCCUGAGAGGGUGACCGGCGACAUUGGGACUGAGAUACGGCCCAGACUCCUACGGGAGGCAGCAGUCGGGAAUAUUGCACAAUGGGCGGAAGCCUGAUGAAGCAACGCCGCGUGCGGGAUGACGGCCUUCGGGUUGUAAACCGCUUUCGCCUGUGACGAAGCGUGAGUGACGGUAAUGGGUAAAGAAGCACCGGCUAACUACGUG
RNAcentral lists this ribosomal RNA (468 nucleotides) under uncultured bacterium. RNAcentral's name for it is "partial 16S ribosomal RNA". It matches the Rfam family "Bacterial small subunit ribosomal RNA", at positions 28 to 507 of the family's 1533-position model. The record is from RNAcentral.